CCGCCUUCGCGUCCGCUGCCAGAUCCCCGCCCUUCCCCCAAACCCUGCCCCACACCACGCAAAUCCUAUGACUAGACCUGACCUGAUUGAUUGCCUACGCCCCACGCAACGCCACGAGCCCACAACGCACCCCGCAAGCGAAGCAAAGCAAGCCCCAGGCGGCGCCACCAGCGGAGGACGCGAUGGGGCAUAAGAUCGCGCGGACGACGCAGGCGUCGACAGAGUACUACCUCCACGACCUGCUGUCCACCUACAAUCUCAUGCUCCUCGACGUCGACAGCCGCGGCCGCUUCCUCAAGUCCGUCCGCUGCAAGCACGACGAGGGGUUGCUCCUCGUCAAGGUCUACUUUAAGCCCGUCGGCGAGUCCAUAGACCUCAAGGUAAUCCGCCCGCGGCCGCGGCUGGCGGCUGCUCGCAGGUGCACUGCCAAUCCCCUCGUGACUUCAAUCGGAUUUGGUUCUGGAUCGUGGUCGUGAGAUCCCGCUGCUGGUUUUGCAGGAGCACGACCUGAGGCUAGAGUGGAUUAGGAACGCGUUCAAGGGGAUCGAGGGGUCCCACGUUUGGCCCUUCCAGGUGAGGAUUCUGUGCUUAGGGCUUACGGUUUUGCCUGUGGGGCGUAGGUUGUAGCUUCAUAAAAGAGGGGGCAUUGGGGACGCUAUUCCAAUGCGCAAUUGCAUGUUCUAAGAGAUUUUUUUAUUGUGGUUUAUCGGAUUUUUAUCCCAUGUGUUGCAUGUAUGUUUGGUUAAGCUAAGUUUACAGUACAAGGUUGUGUUUUUGGUAAUAAAUUAACCGCCCUUUCAAGUGAUUUUUAUCCCAUGUGCUGCGUGUUAGCUAUUUUGAUUAAGUCCUGAUGAAAAGUUAGUGAUAUAGCUAGUUUAUUUGGAUGUUUUUUCCACAAGCUGGCAUGUUACUGAAAUACUAAGAUAGUAUGAACCAAUAAAUGUACGUUGCAAUUCAGUUCACUUGCUGAAUUGGCUUCUAGUGUUGUUCAGGUUUGGCUGCAAACAGAUAAGGCAGCAUAUCUCUUGAGACAAUACUUCUUCAGUAACUUGCAAGAUCGAUUGAGUACACGCCCUUUCCUCAGUCAGGUUGCAAAGAAAUGGCUUGCCUUUUAGUUAAUUCAUGCAGUGGAACAGAGCCAUAGUAAGGGAAUUUUGCCAUGGUGACAUAAAAUGUGAAAAUGUGCUCGUUACUUCUUGGAAUUGGUUAUAUCUUGCGGACUUUGCAUCAUUCAAGCCAACGUAUAUCCCGGAUGAUGAUCCGUUUGAUUUCUCAUUCUAUUUUGACACUAGAGGAAGACGACGAUGCUAUCUAGCACCUGAACCUCGCCGCAGAUGACAAGACCGACGAGUUGUUCGCCAAAAUCUCCCUCAGGCUAGGCCCCCCUUCGCUUCUCAAGUGUAAAAUAAUAUACCAGUAGACUUUAAGAUAGUUGUAUUAGAGUCAAGUCAAUGGUGUCUAAAGUCUAAACUGGGUCGACUUGGAUGCCAGCAAUGGGCUAUAUUAUUAGAGGCAGGGAUGGGCUGAUUGAACAAACAUUUUUUGGAUUUACCAGAAUCAUGGUUUGAUGUUGUUGAGCGGACCUCAAAGGACAAUAACAAGACACUACAGAAAAGCUGAAGUAUGAGGAAAUAGUUGCCAACAUAUAACCAGAUUUUGGAACUAAUGGAAAGGAGUUAAUAAAGGGGAUCUUAGGGGAUAAGUGGCAAAAAAAAUCAAAAUACCAUCUCUUCGCGAAAAACUUGUCUCAUAUAUGGCUUUUCAAGUGUAAAAGACUCUGGUAUGUGUACCCUCAAUUAUACUCGUCCCUUGAACUAUCUUUAAAGGUAAUAUAUUUAUAAUUUAGAGAAAUUUUGUUGUAUAGAUGCAGUUUCUUAGCUGUGUUUUCUGCUUGGAAAACCAAUCAAAAGCCACAGCGCGGAUACGCUCAAGUCCACCUCCAUCAACAGGCAACCGUCUGCCUGGGGUCGAGUGCCUCCCACCCAUCAAAUCCAAGCAUCAGGAGGCGCUCACCUUUGACAGCGGCCAUCCCUCAACCCUCUGUAGCAUGUGGCGCCCCCGCUGCGAAUCUGCCUUUACGACAUUUGCCAUCCUCGCAUCCCAAACCGUCGAUGCCCACCCCCUAACACGGUUCCUGACCUCCCUGACAGGGGACUCCUCUGAAGGAUAUAACAAGUGG
Molecule: long non-coding RNA, 2179 nt
Organism: Zea mays
Lineage: Eukaryota; Viridiplantae; Streptophyta; Magnoliopsida; Poales; Poaceae
Exons: 6
Source: RefSeq, a predicted model, not a curated record